Molecule: long non-coding RNA, 1022 nt
Filed under: Zonotrichia albicollis (white-throated sparrow)
Lineage: Eukaryota; Metazoa; Chordata; Aves; Passeriformes; Passerellidae
Description: lncRNA (ENSZALG00000004543.1)
Source: RNAcentral
AUGGAGAAGGAAAUUCCCAAGAAUUCCCAUGGAUGGAGAAGGAAAUUCCCAUGGAUGGAGAAGGAAAUUCCCAGGAUCAAAUUCCGAUGGAGACAAAGAUCCCACCCCCAGGAUCCUUGGAAAAGGGAUCAGCACCAGGAUAUUCCCACCACAUCCCAAAAUCCCCCUCAUCCCAACCCUCUCUUUUCCCAGGAAUUCGGUUUUCCUUGGAUUUUUCACCCGGGAGGAAUCAGGGCUGUAGUGUUGGAUGAGCUGAGGAAUUCCAUAAAGGGAAGGAAGAGGAAUUCGGGGAAAUUCAGGUUUCCCGAAAAACCUCUGGGAUUGGCAGGAUCCCCCUGCGCAGCUUCCAUAGGGAGGAAUUUUGGGAUUGCAACUCGGAACCCUUCACUUCCAGCAGGGAAAAUUCCAUUCCAGAAAAAUCAGGGAAAAUCCCAUUCUGGAAAAAUCAGGGAAAAUCACAUUCUGGAAAAAUCAGGGGAAAUUCCGCUCCGGAAAAAUCAGGGAAAAUUCCAUUCCGGAAAAAUUCCGCUCUGGAAAAAUUCCAUUCUGGAAAAAUCAGGGAAAAUCCCAUGCUGGAAAAAUCAGGGAAAAAUCCCGCUCUGGAAAAAUAAGAGAAAAUCCCAUUCCGAAAAAUCAGGGAAAAUUUCAUUCUGGAAAAAUCAGGGAAAAUCACAUUCCAGAAUAAUCAGGGAAAAUUCCAUUCUGGAAAAAAUCAGGGAAAAUUUCAUUCCAGAAAAAUCAGGGAAAAUCACAUUCUGGAAAAUCAGGGAAAAUCACAUUCUGGAAAAAUUCAGGGAAAAUCCCAUUCCAGAAAAAUCAGGGAAAAUCCCGCUCUGGAAAAAUCAGGGAAAAUCCCAUUCCGGAAAAAUCAGGGAAAAUUACAUUCCAGAAAAUCAGGGAAAAUCCCAUUUUGGAAAAAUUCCAUUCCGGAAAUAUCAGGGAAAAUCACAUUCCGGAAAAAUCAGGGAAAAUUCUGCUCUGAAAAAUCAGGGAAAAUUUCAUUCUGCAAAAAUCAGGGAAAA